ACAUACCUUCAGAGGAAGAAGCUCUUGUGGGGCUCAUAUCCCUCCCAGAAUAAACAUUUUGAAAGGAAGAUAACUAAGCCCACAGGAAACCAUACUUUUUUUUUUUUUAAGAUUAUGCUGAUAAAAGCAUGAAGAGAGGCCUUUCUGUGACUGACUAUAACAGUCAGAGUAAACGCCUACACUAUUCCUAGAGGCAAACUAAUUCUUUUCCCAGACUCGGCUGACCAGGAUUGUACAGACCGAUGGUCCAUUCUGGCAUGGUAAAUGUGAUCUCAUGAAAGGAAAUCUAUGGAGCUGCACCUGUAGGAAGCAUACAUGAUCAUGAAGGACUGAUCACACAAAUGUUGACACAGGCAGGCAGCAAAGAUGCACCAACGCAUUUUGAACUCUGAAUCUCCAAUGAGAGAAAUAAAAAACCAGCUACAUCCAUAUGUGAUGUAUAUGGCCACCUCUGUCUUCAUCUUCAAGACAAUUUGUCUUAUGGUUUCAUAAACUUACAUUUAUUACUCAAAACAUCAUUCUGAAGCUUGACUGCCUUCCACAAUGAGCACAGCACCAGGACUUUGGGCUCAUCAUGCUCAGCUUUGCAGCAUUGGACUUGUCUGCACCUUCCUGGAACCUGCAGGGCUGCAUUGGCCAUCUCAGCUGCCUCUUGUGAGCCCAGUAUCAAUCCAGCAUGUUGGAUGAGAUAUCAUUUGGAAAUAACAAGAGAAGAAAUGAGCCUUUAUAUUUCCUUCCUCAGGAAUUGGGAUGCCUUCCUUAAGUUAAAUAGCUAAGCUGUUCCUUGCAAACUUGGCCUCCCUUUCAUGUCUUGCCCACUAAAAGGUGAAUUUUCUGUUCAGUUUGGGAAUGUGGUAUCACAUUUAUUCGUGUCCCUUUUUUAAUCACCAGGAUGAAGGAGUUCAGUACAACACUAAGGCUCCAGCCUUAACCCAGUGGACUGCAUGCCUACAUCUUCAAUAAUUUUAGUGGGUGAAUAUUUCUAGAAAGCAUGGAAAAAUAUGACAAAGAAGAUGAUUGGAAAAUAAAAGAACAAAUGACAAAGCACCCAAGGAAAUGUACAAGGGAAAACAUAGCCAUGGAAGAUGAUGGAAAGAACAUCUUCAUGAUAAUUACCUGACUGAAAAGAAACCUCAGCAUGUGGAUAUACAUUCUUCAACAUUUUUCUGUUUCGUGUCUGUAGUAUAGUAUGGAUAACAUAACUACAAAACUAUUCUAUGAUUCCAUCUAAUAUAUAUAUUACAUUCAUCAUAUUAUUAUACUAUUACAACAGUAGUAAAAUAGUGAUGUAAAUAUGCUCUAAAUAAUAUCAAAUCAAUGUUAAUACAUUCCUAGGUUUUUACUAUACUAUUAAUAUUUAAAAUUUAUGUAUGAUAUUAUUUUAUAAAAGUGAUAAAAACUUGGCAUCACUAAAUCUAAAUAAUGCUUCAACAUUAUACUUUGCUAUAAGGAGAAAUUGUGUUACUACUAUCCUGCUACCAAUUUGGCUCUUAUAAUAACCUGUAUUUUCACAAAUCACUUCAAGUAAACAUAUGGUGCCAUAGCUUUUGGUAUAGUUUCAAUAUCUUGAAAUUUACAGCAGUAUGCAAAGCUAAUUGGAAUGAGUAUUUGAGAUCAUUUCAAAUAUAAAAAAAUCCUUUUUUCAUAUUUUUUAUUUUAUGGCUAAUGUUUAAAAAUAUCUUUUUUUCAGUUUGUUUCAUUUUUACUGAGGAUGCCAUAAAAGAGAGGCUACUUACAAUAAUGAGAGUUUAUGGCAAGUUAAUCUUUUAAUAAUACAUUUGCCCCUAGUUUCUCUGUUUCAGAGUUUAACUCAUAAUAAAUUAACUAAUAAUAAUUAACUCAUAAUAAAUUAACUAAUAUUAAAUAAAACAAUUUUGGCUGGUACUCCAGAUAAAACAUGCAGAGGUCCAUGAACUAAAGUAUUUUCUUCAGUAGAUACUUAAAAAUUUCUAUUCAUAAAAGUCAUAGUUAAAUCCUGGCAAUCCUUAUCACAACUGUUCAAGAUGUACUGUUCUAAAACAAGCACUUGCUUGGUUAUGCAUGCAUAAUAAACCUGCUUACUGAA
This is a long non-coding RNA of Haemorhous mexicanus (house finch), 2065 nucleotides long. RefSeq lists it as uncharacterized. The record is from RefSeq and is a predicted model, not a curated record. NCBI's taxonomy places the organism in Eukaryota, Metazoa, Chordata, Aves, Passeriformes, Fringillidae. The transcript is spliced from 3 exons.